GAUGAACGCUGGCGGCGUGCCUAAUACAUGCAAGUAGAACGCUGAAGGAGGAGCUUGCUCUUCUGGAUGAGUUGCGAACGGGUGAGUAACGCGUAGGUAACCUGCCUGGUAGCGGGGGAGAACUAUUGGAAACGAUAGCUAAUACCGCAUGACAACAGUUAUUGCAUGAUAACUGUUUAAAAGGGGCAACUGCUCCACUACCAGAUGGACCUGCGUUGUAUUAGCUAGUUGGUGAGGUAACGGCUCACCAAGGCGACGAUACAUAGCCGACCUGAGAGGGGGAUCGGCCCCACUGGGACUGAGACACGGCCCAGACUCCUACGGGAGGCAGCAGUAGGGAAUCUUCGGCAAUGGACGGAAGUCUGACCGAGCAACGCCGCGUGAGUGAAGAAGGUUUUCGGAUCGUAAAGCUCUGUUGUAAGAGAAGAACGAGUGUGAGAGUGGAAAGUUCACACUGUGACGGUAUCUUACCAGAAAGGGACGGCUAACUACGUG
This 495-nucleotide ribosomal RNA is filed under the name uncultured bacterium. RNAcentral's name for it is "partial 16S ribosomal RNA". It matches the Rfam family "Bacterial small subunit ribosomal RNA", at positions 28 to 507 of the family's 1533-position model. The record is from RNAcentral.